Molecule: long non-coding RNA, 270 nt
Filed under: Phasianus colchicus (ring-necked pheasant)
Lineage: Eukaryota; Metazoa; Chordata; Aves; Galliformes; Phasianidae
Description: lncRNA (ENSPCLG00000012876.1)
Source: RNAcentral
AACUUUUUUUCUUUUUUUCCCCCCACCCAGCCCAUGUUCUAUAAAAGCAAGUGUGAGGAGCUGGAGAGGUGGAGAGGAAUGCUCUAUGGCUAAGAAUCUGCUUGGGACCUCAGUUUUAGGGCAUGUGCCGUGUUUAAGCUUCCAUGACAGAGAAAUGAACAAAAUCUCCCUUGAGGUAACUAAUGAAAAUACCAAAGACUACCAAAACUGAGUAACCCUGGCAAAAUCCUAUUGGGUAAGUGCUUCUGUUUUUAUACUGAGCUAUUGAUU